This 531-nucleotide long non-coding RNA is filed under the name Brassica napus (rape). RNAcentral describes it as "long non-coding RNA (BNAP_LNC020605)". Lineage: Eukaryota; Viridiplantae; Streptophyta; Magnoliopsida; Brassicales; Brassicaceae. The record is from RNAcentral.
AAACCGUCUCAAAAAUCUGAAUGGAUCAUACAAUGGAUCAUUUGGAAGGAGAUCACAGAUGGUGAAACGAAGAACCCCUUAUUCUCCGAUUGUUUUCAUCCACUGUCUUGGUUAUCUUUUAUAUAUGUUGGUAUCAAGAUUCAAAAAACUGUAGCUUCGCAUUUUUAUAUAAUGAACGGUUAUUAACGCAGAAAAAUAUAAACAAAAGAGCGUUACGACAUUAUAAACAAAUUCUUUUUUAUAUACUCGUUUUCAGAUAAAUAUAUGUAAUGUUGAUUGAUUAAUGGAGGAAUAUGGGUGACCACACACCCAUAUUAAUCUUGUGAUGGCCAUCACGUUAUCUUUCCACUUUCGGCAGGAAAGCAUGUGGAAAAUGCCCAGCCAGUCACGUGUCAGAUUGGGGUUUGUUAGUCGUCCAGCCCUACAUUGAUCCAAUUAUGGGGAUAUGCUGUUUGCUUUCCAGAACCUUAUCUUCCACCGGGUUCUUGUUCAUACUACAUUUCCUCACUUACCAUGCAUUUUCUUAUUUUC